GACGAACGCUGGCGGCGUGCCUAACACAUGCAAGUCGAACGGAGAAUUUUAUUUCGGUAGAAUUCUUAGUGGCGAACGGGUGAGUAACGCGUAGGCAACCUACCCUUUAGACGGGGACAACAUUCCGAAAGGAGUGCUAAUACCGGAUGUGAUCAUCGUGCCGCAUGGCAGGAUGAAGAAAGAUGGCCUCUACAAGUAAGCUAUCGCUAAAGGAUGGGCCUGCGUCUGAUUAGCUAGUUGGUAGUGUAACGGACUACCAAGGCGAUGAUCAGUAGCCGGUCUGAGAGGAUGAACGGCCACAUUGGGACUGAGACACGGCCCAAACUCCUACGGGAGGCAGCAGUGGGGAAUCUUCCGCAAUGGACGAAAGUCUGACGGAGCAACGCCGCGUGAGUGAUGAAGGAUUUCGGUCUGUAAAGCUCUGUUGUUUAUGACGAACGUGCAGUGUGUGAACAAUGCAUUGCAAUGACGGUAGU
RNAcentral lists this ribosomal RNA (476 nucleotides) under uncultured bacterium. RNAcentral's name for it is "bacterial SSU rRNA". It matches the Rfam family "Bacterial small subunit ribosomal RNA", at positions 28 to 479 of the family's 1533-position model. The record is from RNAcentral.